RNAcentral lists this ribosomal RNA (354 nucleotides) under uncultured bacterium. Its description in RNAcentral is "bacterial SSU rRNA". It matches the Rfam family "Bacterial small subunit ribosomal RNA", at positions 917 to 1267 of the family's 1533-position model. The record is from RNAcentral.
GGGCCCGCACAAGCAGUGGAGCAUGUGGUUUAAUUCGACGCAACGCGAAGAACCUUACCAGCGUUUGACAUGAGAAGUGCCGGUUACAGAAUGGUAACCUUCAGUUCGGCUGGCUUCUACACAGGUGCUGCAUGGCUGUCGUCAGCUCGUGUCGUGAGAUGUUGGUUAAGUCCCGCAACGAGCGCAACCCUUAUCGUUAGUUACUAACAGUUCGGCUGAGGACUCUAGCGAAACUGCCGGUGAUAAGCCGGAGGAAGGUGGGGGAUGACGUCAAGUCCUCAUGGCCCUUACACGCUGGGCUACACACGUGCUACAAUGGUAACUACAACGGGACGCCAAUACCGCGAGGUGGAG